This 253-nucleotide ribosomal RNA is filed under the name uncultured bacterium. RNAcentral's name for it is "partial 16S ribosomal RNA". It matches the Rfam family "Bacterial small subunit ribosomal RNA", at positions 524 to 776 of the family's 1533-position model. The record is from RNAcentral.
UACGUAGGGGGCAAGCGUUGUCCGGAAUCAUUGGGCGUAAAGAGCGUGUAGGCGGCCCGAUAAGUCCGCUGUGAAAGUCCAGGGCUCAACCCUGGAAUGCCGGUGGAUACUGUCGGGCUCGAAUCCGGAAGAGGUGGGUGGAAUUCCUGGUGUAGCGGUGAAAUGCGCAGAUAUCAGGAGGAACACCGGUGGCGAAGGCGGAUCUCUGGGCCAUUACUGACGCUGAGGAGCGAAAGCGUGGGGAGCGAACAGG